RNAcentral lists this transfer-messenger RNA (348 nucleotides) under Ureaplasma sp. It matches the Rfam family "transfer-messenger RNA". Rfam says of the family: Bacterial tmRNA, also known as 10Sa RNA or SsrA, is named for its dual tRNA and mRNA-like properties. Its role is to liberate the mRNA from a stalled ribosome. Lineage: Bacteria; Bacillati; Mycoplasmatota; Mycoplasmoidales; Mycoplasmoidaceae. The record is from RNAcentral.
GGGGAUGUCACGGAUUCGACAGGAUCAGUGUUUCAUUAAGUGCAGUGGGGUCUGCCCCUUAUAGCUCUAGGUUUAAUAAAUGCAGAAAAAAAUUCUAAACAAUUAAACAACUUUGAAAUCAACAGAAUGAUUUCACAAAACUUAGCUUACAAUUUUGCUUAAUUUUUAAUUAAAAUAAAUUGAUGUUUUUAAUUGAUUCAUUAAAAAUCAAUUAAUCUAUUAGUUUUAAAUUUUUUGUUAUUUUUAGUUUAAAAUGAUGGAUUUAAAAUUUUUAAAAAAAUAAAUAAACUGUAGAUCUUAAUGGUGUGUUGGUUUUGGAAAGGGGUUCGACUCCCCUCAUCUCCACCA